GCUUGGAUAGCUCAGUCAGUAGAGCAUCAGACUUUUAAUCUGAGGGUACAGGGUUCAAGCCCAUGUUUGGGUU
Molecule: non-coding RNA, 73 nt
Organism: Danio rerio (zebrafish)
Lineage: Eukaryota; Metazoa; Chordata; Actinopteri; Cypriniformes; Danionidae
Source: Rfam